RNAcentral lists this ribosomal RNA (555 nucleotides) under Triticum aestivum (bread wheat). RNAcentral's name for it is "partial small subunit ribosomal RNA". The record is from RNAcentral. Lineage: Eukaryota; Viridiplantae; Streptophyta; Magnoliopsida; Poales; Poaceae.
AUGGCAACUCCGGCGGCCAUCUCCUCGGCUAUCCUUCUCCUCCUAUUCUCGUUCUCGCUCACCGCCGGCGCCAGGGGUGCCACCUUCACCGUCAUGAACUUUUGCCCUUUCGUGGUGUACCCGGCGGCCAUCCCGGUCGGCUGGGGCGCGGAGAUAGGGACCGGCCUGGGGAUCGGCCAGGCGUGGAACCUCGCGGUGCCCGCCGGCGCCUCCUCGGUCAGGAUAUGGGCCCGCACCAACUGCACAUUCGAUCCCGCCACCGGCCGCGGUAGCUGCGGAACCAGCGACUGCGACGGCGCGCUGCGCUGUGACGACUACAGGAAGCCGCCCGUGACGCAGGCCGAGUUCACCCUCGGCUCCUCCGGCAGCGCCCCGGACAGCUACAACUACAGCAUCUCGCUCGUCGACGGCUUCAACGUCCCUAUGGGGAUCCUGUGCCCGCCUAAAUAUUACAUUCACUACUUGCUUAAUCCACAAGACAUUUUAUUUUUUGUCGUACUCUAUGGUCUACGCUGCCAGGGAGGUUUUUCUAGGGGGGGAGCAAGAAGUCGAUAA